CCUACGGGAGGCAGCAGUAGGGAAUCUUCCGCAAUGGACGAAAGUCUGACGGAGCAACGCCGCGUGAGUGAAGAAGGUUUUCGGAUCGUAAAACUCUGUCGUCGGAGAAGAACAAGUAGGAGAGUAACUGUUCCUACCUUGACGGUACCCGACCAGAAAGCCACGGCUAACUACGUGCCAGCAGCCGCGGUAAUACGUAG
Molecule: ribosomal RNA, 200 nt
Filed under: uncultured bacterium
Lineage: Bacteria
Description: partial 16S ribosomal RNA
Rfam family: Bacterial small subunit ribosomal RNA
Source: RNAcentral